AGGGUUUACAUUCAUUUCAAAACAUUUCAUAUCCCACUGCUUUGCUUCCCUGCUCCUCUCUCUCUCUCUCUCUGGCGAUUCCAGAUCUAGAUCUAGGGUUUGUCUCCAAGGCGAUUUAAGAUCUAGCCUUUCUCAUUGACACCAGAUCGAGGAUCUUCAAGGUGGGUUUAUGGCAUCUUCAAGGUGAGUUUUGCCAUCACCAAUCUCCAAAGAAUCAAGCAAUCUGACCCAGGGUUCCAACUAAUGACGAAGGUCGACAAAUUAGAGUUUUGACUACCGAUCUACUUCUACAUGUAUGCUCUGCAGACUAUCAAGGGUUUUGAGGUUACAUGAUUAACAGAGGUGAAGAUGGAGUCACGAGUUAACAGAGGUGAAGAUGGAGUUGAAGGGGUUCUUCUACAUCACAGGACUUUCACACCUUUUGUUGGGCAUAAUUAGCCUUAUGGUCGAGUUUACUAUGAAGGAUUUUAAGAUUCCACGGAACCUGCAUUAAAGUUAGACUUCAUGCGACUUUUGAGCUGUUUGGUCCAUUCAACCAGUUUGAUUGGUUUACUCUUACCCAAAUUCAAAAUCAAGAUAGAACAUAACCCAAACUGACCCACUUGUAAAUAAGUAUGUUAAAGUUUUUUGUUAACCCAUUAGUUUUGCUAAAAACUUUAUUACUUUUUCAUGUUGAUUUGUUGUUUACAGCAAUGGCAACCGGACUGGAAUCAAAACUUCGUUAUGCAUCAGUUCAUAUUCUGUCUGAUACCAUGGAAGCUGCAAGAAAACCGUCUGCUGCUGCUAUUGUUGGGGUUGCUCAUAGUUGUUAAAAGCCAUCGCCUCUUGCGCCUAGGCCCAUUUUUCAGGCGAGGCGAGGUAGUUGCGCCUUAAGUCGAGGAAAUUGCGCUUUAAUUCUCUAGGUGAUGCACAUUCCGGCGAGAUUCCUAGGCUUAAAAUUUAGAGCCUUCCGUUGAAAAGAAUCGUUUUGAAAGAAAUUGGGGGGCAUGAAGGCGUUUGACGGUUCCUUAAAACACGUCAUAUCGUUCCAUUUGAGUUUUUAGUAAUCAACAUUGACCAAGUAAUUUUGUAGCUGUUGGCUUUCUUUGUUACUGUGCAAUCUGGAGAUUGCUAAUGGGCUUCAGCCGUGGUUGGAUCAUCUCAUUUUUAAUAAUCUAGCAACUAAAUACUAAUGUCAUGGCAUUCAUUAGUGUUGUUUGUUACAUUUGUUUUUAACUGUUAUCAUUAAGUAGACAGUAGGCAAUACCAAUAUUGCUCAUGUCAUAGGACAAACCUAUGGUUUAGGACCAAUUUGACCGUUUGCUCUGUUAGAUUUAAAAAAGUUUUUGUGUUUUUAAA
Long non-coding RNA from Helianthus annuus (common sunflower), 1338 nucleotides. RefSeq lists it as uncharacterized. NCBI's taxonomy places the organism in Eukaryota, Viridiplantae, Streptophyta, Magnoliopsida, Asterales, Asteraceae. The record is from RefSeq and is a predicted model, not a curated record. The transcript is spliced from 5 exons.